Molecule: non-coding RNA, 6392 nt
Organism: Castor canadensis (American beaver)
Lineage: Eukaryota; Metazoa; Chordata; Mammalia; Rodentia; Castoridae
Source: RefSeq, a predicted model, not a curated record
CACCGCCGCCGCCGUUGCCGCCGGCCACCGCGCCUGUUGCUGUCGCCGCUGCGGGACCCGCUGUAUCCUCAGCCCGGAGAAGAGGCGGGAGACCGGCCCAGCGGUCUCCGCUCCCGGUCCCCGGCGGAGGGAAGAGCGCAGUCAGCGGCUACCAUGGAUGCCUCGCCCUCCCAGGCCGUCCCCAGGAUGCCCCAGAGCACCUGCGCGCCCGGGCAGGGCCAGGGGCUCUGAUCGCCGCCACACAGGGUUCUGCAUCUCAAGCGUGUAAAAUAGAGAUUGCUCAGUCUAAAACAGAAAAACAGUGGCAAGGUUUCGCUCAGUCUCCAGACCUUUUCCAAGAUGGAACCAAUAACAUUCACGGCAAAGAAACAUCCCUUCCCUAAUGAGGUCUCGGUGGACUUUGGCCUUCAGCUGGUGGGCUCUUUGCCUGUGCAUUCUCUGACCACCAUGCCCAUGCUGCCAUGGGUGGUGGCUGAGGUGCGAAGACUAAGUGGCCAGUCCUCCAAAAAAGAGGCAGCCACCAGGCAAGUCCGGCUUUGUGUUUCGCCCUCUGGACUGCGAUGUGAACCUGAGCCAGGGAAAAGUCAACAGUGGGACCCACUGAUCUGUUCCAGCAUCUUCGAGUGCAAACCGCAGCAUGUUCACAAACUGAUUCACAAUAGUCACGACCCGAGCUACUUUGCUUGUCUCAUUAAAGAAGAUACUGUCCGCCGGCAGAGCAUCUGCUAUGUGUUCAAAGCCGAUGAUCAAACAAAAGUGCCUGAGAUCAUCAGCUCCAUCCGACAGGCCGGCAAGAUCGCCCGCCAGGAGGAGCUGCGCUGCCCGUCCGAGUUCGAUGACACGUUCGCCAAGAAGUUCGAGGUGCUCUUCUGUGGUCGAGUGACAGUGGCCCACAAGAAGGCCCCGCCAGCCCUGAUUGAUGAGUGCAUUGAGAAGUUCAACCACGUGAGCUGCAGCCGGAGAGCAGAUUGGGAGGCGGCGCUGCCAGUGCCUGUGCCCCCGAUCGCCACCCCCGCGGAGCCCCGCCGGCCCAUGCGCAAGUCCUUCUCCCAGCCUGGCCUGCGCUCCAUGGCCUUCAGGAAGGAGUUCCAGGAUGGAAGCCUGCGGAACAGCAGGUUCUUCAGCUCUUUUGAGGAAAACGACAUCGAGAGCCACCUAAUUAGUGGACACAAUAUUGUGCAGCCAACAGACAUUGAGGAAAAUCGAACUAUGCUCUUUACGAUUGGCCAAUCUGAAGUUUACCUCAUCAGUCCUGACACCAAAAAAAUAGCAUUGGAGAAAAAUUUUAAGGAGAUAUCCUUUUGCUCUCAGGGCAUCCGACACGUGGACCACUUUGGGUUUAUCUGCCGGGAGUCUUCAGGUGGUGGCGGCUUUCAUUUCGUCUGUUACGUGUUCCAGUGUGCAAAUGAAGCUCUGGUGGACGAGAUCAUGAUGACACUGAAGCAGGCUUUCACAGUGGCCGCGGUACAGCGGACAGCGAAGGCGCCAGCCCAGCUUUGUGAGGGCUGUCCCCUGCAGAACCUGCACAAGCUCUGUGAGAGGAUAGAGGGAAUGAAUUCUUCCAAAACCAAACUAGAACUCCAAAAGCACCUGACAACACUGACGAAUCAGGAGCAAGCAACUAUUUUUGAGGAGGUUCAGAAAUUAAGACCAAGAAAUGAGCAACGAGAGAAUGAAUUGAUUAUUUCUUUUCUGAGAUGUUUAUAUGAAGAGAAGCAAAAAGAACAUACCCACAUUGGGGAGAUGAAGCAGACAUUGCAGAUUGCAGCGGAGAAUAUUGGAAGUGAAUUACCACCCAGUGCCACUCGAUUUAGGCUAGACAUGCUGAAAAACAAAGCAAAAAGGUCUUUAACAGAGUCUUUAGAAAGUAUUUUGUCCCGGGGUAAUAAAGCCAGAGGCCUUCAGGAACAAUCUGCCAGCAUGGAUCUGGACAGCUCUGUGUCUAGUACAUUAAGUAACACCAGCAAGGAGCCAUCCAUGGGUGACAAGGAUACCCUGCCCAUCUCUGAGAGCUCCUUCAAACUCUUAGGCUCCUCGGAUGACCUGUCCAGUGACUCGGAGAGCCUACUCACUGAAGAACCUGCUUUGCUGUCACCUCAGCAGGCCUUUCGAAGGCGAGCAAACACCCUGAGUCAUUUUCCCGUGGAGUGCCUCGAGCCUCCAGAACCUGCUCAGGGCUCCCCAGGGGUCUCUCAAAGAAAACUUAUGAGGUAUCACUCCGUGAGCACAGAGACACCUCAUGAACGGAACAUGGAUCAUCCUACUGUGGGCGAAUCUAAGGGUUGCUCAGGUCAGCCUUCAGCUCCUGCUCCUCCACCUCGUCUUAACCCCUCUGCCUCCUCGCCAAACUUUUUUAAGUAUAUAAAGCAUAAUUCCAGUGGAGAACAAAGUGGGAAUGCUGUGGCAAAGAGCAUCUCCUACCGUAAUGCCCUGCGGAAAAAACUUCAUUCUUCCUCCUCUGUGCCAAAUUUUCUAAAAUUUCUGGCUCCUGUAGAUGAAAAUAACACAUCUGACUUUAUGAACACAAAAAGGGACUUUGAGUCCAAAGCAAAUCAUGUGGGUGAUGUGGACACGACCCCAGUGAAGACCCGGCGGCACUCAUGGCGGCAGCAGAUCUUCCUCCGCGUGGCUACCCCACAGAAGGCGAGCGACAGCCCUGGCAGAUACGAAGAUUAUUCAGAGCUGGGAGAGCUUCCUCCACGAUCUCCUUUAGAGCCAGUGUGUGAAGAUGGGCCGUUUGGCCCUGUCCCAGAGGAAAAGAAGAGGACAUCACAUGAGCUGCGGGAACUGUGGAAAAAGGCCAUUCUACAACAAAUACUGCUCCUCAGGAUGGAGAAGGAAAACCAGAAGCUACAAGCCUCUGAGAAUGAUUUGCUGAACAAGCGCCUAAAGCUCGAUUAUGAAGAAAUCACUCCUUGUCUUAAAGAAGUAACUGCGGUGUGGGAAAAGAUGCUUAGCACUCCAGGAAGGUCAAAAAUUAAGUGUGACAUGGAAAAAAUGCACUCUGCUGUUGGGCAAGGUGUGCCACGUCAUCACCGUGGUGAAAUCUGGAAAUUUCUAGCUGAGCAGUUCCACCUUAAACACCCAUUUCCCAGUAAACAGCAGCCAAAGGAUGUGCCAUACAAAGAACUCUUAAAACAGCUUACCUCCCAGCAGCAUGCAAUUCUUAUCGACCUCGGGCGAACCUUUCCAACACAUCCAUACUUCUCUGCCCAGCUUGGAGCAGGGCAGCUGUCACUUUACAACAUUCUCAAGGCCUACUCACUUCUAGACCAAGAAGUAGGGUACUGCCAAGGUCUCAGCUUUGUGGCUGGCAUUUUGCUUCUUCAUAUGAGUGAGGAAGAGGCAUUUAAAAUGCUCACGUUUCUGAUGUUUGACAUGGGACUGAGGAAACAGUACCGGCCGGACAUGAUUAUUUUACAGAUCCAGAUGUACCAGCUCUCAAGGCUUCUUCACGAUUACCAUAGAGACCUCUACAAUCACCUGGAGGAGCACGAGAUUGGCCCCAGCCUUUACGCUGCACCGUGGUUUCUCACGGUUUUCGCCUCGCAGUUCCCACUGGGAUUUGUAGCCAGAGUCUUUGAUAUGAUCUUCCUUCAGGGAUCAGAGGUCAUAUUUAAAGUGGCUUUAAGUCUGUUGGGAAGCCAUAAGCCCUUGAUUCUGCAGCAUGAAAACCUAGAAACCAUAGUGGACUUUAUAAAAAACACACUACCCAACCUAGGCUUGGUACAAAUGGAGAAGACCAUCAACCAGGUGUUUGAGAUGGACAUCGCUAAACAGUUACAAGCUUAUGAGGUUGAGUACCAUGUACUUCAAGAAGAACUUAUUGAUUCCUCUCCUCUCAGUGACAACCAAAGAAUGGAUAAAUUAGAGAAAACCAACAGCAGCUUACGCAAACAGAACCUUGACCUCCUGGAACAAUUGCAGGUAGCAAAUGGCAGGAUCCAAAGCCUGGAAGCCUCAGUAGAGAAGCUCCUGGCCAGUGAGAACAAGCUGAAGCAGGCUGCACUAGCCUUGGAGCUGGAGCGGUCCGCCCUGCUGCAGAUGGUGGAGGAACUGCGGAGGCAGCCUGCCCAGCUGAGUGAGGGCCCAGGAGCCUGACUGAACCCACUCCUGCCUGCGGGUGACUGACGGCGCAGAGAGAAACUGCACAGCAUCCUACCACUGUCCAGGCCUUAACCCAGAGGGAUGCUGGAGGCAAAGAGCAGAGCAGAGUGGGAAGCGAACUUCUCAGGGAGGAAAUUGGCUCGCCAAUGUGUGGAUUCUUUUGAGCUCAGACUUGAAAUUCAGAAGAUGAAUGUCCCAGGGUUUUGUUGUUUUAGGUCCUAAUCGGUCCUUUCUCCAAUUCUGAUUACUGUACUCAGUAGCUUUAGAAGGCAUGGACUUGAAUAAAUGCACAUUUCUGUUUCCUUGUUGUUUUCUUUUUCAGUAGCACUGUGUGUAAGGAGCAUUCAUAAUACUGGGAUUCCAGAAGCAGAAAAGGCUCAAGAUAAUUCCUCAGUAAAAGUGUGAGUUACUCUUCGAGAGGGUUCAGGUGACCACACCUUCAGUGUCAACUGCGAGAUGCACUUGUCCAUUCUUGUUACGGAAACCUAAGAUGACUCUGGGGAAGGGCUGAAGGAACAUAUUUAAAUUGGACAUCUUGACCAUUAUCAAGUAAAUCUGAUCACUGCCUUUGAUACUUCAGGAAGUUUGUCUUUUUAAAAAAUACAGCGUUUCCAUAUGUUUUUGCUCAUCCUUUUAAGUACAGUUGAUCAAAGUCAUAGUAGAUAAAUGUUUUGAGAGAAAAAUCACCAGUUUUUAGACUCCGUCAGAUAUCACUAGUGUGUGACCUGCAGUUGUAGAGUCUAAAAUAUUUAUUUCUUUGUGGUAGUUUCAUGUCCAUACCAUAGAGACAUAUAUUUAUUUUUGCCUGUUGUAUGAUAUGUUGCAGCCAUGUGUUCCUUUGAGUCUCAACCCCUUGGAAAUCUGAUUCCUUAUAGAAGGAUUGAAGCAUAUCAAAAUUUUCAGGGGUGCCCAUGAUUCUGGGUCUUUGAAAAAAGACCAGACUGAAAUUGCAAUCAGAUGUAUGGCAGCUGACAGUUUUUCAGAGGUAGGAUUUGUGUUCUGAAUGGAAGUCCUAGCACAGUGACUCCCCCGCCUCAGGACGAUGAGGACCCUGUGCCUUCAAGCAAAAUGCUGCUCACAGUUGCCCUGCCUUCAAGCUGGUCACUGUGUAAGGAGUCUCCCACAUAUACUUGGAAGGGUUAUUUUCUUAUGAAGACUUAGAGAAGAACUGUGUAGGCACAGGUGACUCCCCAAACAGCAGAAUCAUUUCCAGUCCUUACAUUCUAAUCCUAACCCCUUCUUUUCCACAGGAGUCUCUUUUGACUCUCCUGGUGGUGGGGUGUCUCAACCCUGAGGUGAAAAGAUGGAUCACCAUACUUACCAUUAUAAAAAUCUCCUGGCCAUUUUGAAGGGAGACAGAACAUCUGGGUGGCCUUUGAGACUCCCUGCUACUUCUGGGUCAGAGGAGAGUCGUUCUCAUAAAGAUGAUAGGUCCAGUUGCCUCUGUCCCAGGUGGUUCCACCAGACAUAGCUUAGAGGAGUUAACGCUUGAGGGCUUCUUUCCACAUCAAAUUUUACUAUUUGAAUGUUUGAUAAUGUUGACUUUUGGACAUCUUACUACUAUUCAAAAACAUUGGCUCUGCAUUAAGCAACAAAGCAAUAAAACAAAUACUUCAUGCCUGUGUUUUUGUGGGGUUUUUUAACCUUUGAAUAUUUCUUUGCAGCCCAUAAGUGAAGGAAUGAGCAACCUGUGGGUCUAAAUGUGAAUAUUACCUCACCACCAGUGAAAUCAUUGGAGGUGUUGAUUCUGUUUCCAGUAUCAACACGCAGGCACUUGUGAUGUAGGGACACUCUACACAGGAUAUUUGGCAUGGCUCAAAAUAAUCUUGGGCUGGGAAAGCUGGAGAGAACUUACCUCUGCUGCUAGAGAAUCAACCCACCUCACCUUGUAGAGGAGAAGCUGGGUGAUUCAAAUGGUUGGCUAAUAGUGGACACCACCCAACUUUAAUUCCAGUGAGAUUUGAGAACCAUUUCUGAUGACUUCAUCUUACAAAGCAGGAACAGAUUUGCUUCUUGUUCACAAGAGUGAUCUAUAUCAUGAGGAACUCAAAUGGGUUUGCUCCUGACAUCCCUCCUAUAGCUUUAACUUACUGUAAGUUAAAAUUGGGGGGGUUAAGGCUGGGGGAUGGUUCCAGUGAUAGAACACCUGCCUUGCAAGCUGAGGCCCUGAGUUCAAACCCUAGUACUACCCAAAAAACUGGGGGGACUUUCCAGUGAGUGCCCCCUAUGUGUGGACUUCAAGGUAGAGGAAUGUUGCAACAGGAUCUGACUGGAGUCGAUUAAAU